GAUGAAGAACGCAGCGAAAUGCGAUACUUGGUGUGAAUUGCAGAAUCCCGUGAACCAUCGAGUCUUUGAACGCAAGUUGCGCCCGAAGCCAUUAGGCCGAGGGCACGCCUGCCUGGGCGUCACACGUCGUUGCCCCCCCAUCUACUCCUUCGGGAUUGCGGGGGGCGGAUGAUGGCCUCCCGUGCGCCUCGUCGCGCGGUUGGCAUAAAUGCUAAGUCCUCGGCGACGCACGCCACGACAAUCGGUGGUUGCGAAACCUCGGUUGCCCGUCGUGUGCGGUCGUCGCGCAUCGAGGGCUCGAAAAAAUUGCCGGGCUCCGGCUCGGCUUUCAACGCGACCCCAGGUCAGGCGGGGUUACCCGCUGAAUUUAAGCAUAUCAAUAAGCGGAGGA
This 391-nucleotide unclassified non-coding RNA is filed under the name soil metagenome. Its description in RNAcentral is "partial contains 5.8S ribosomal RNA, internal transcribed spacer 2, and large subunit ribosomal RNA". The stretch from base 1 to 122 matches the Rfam family "5.8S ribosomal RNA", at positions 35 to 154 of the family's 154-position model. The record is from RNAcentral.